This 274-nucleotide ribosomal RNA is filed under the name uncultured bacterium. RNAcentral's name for it is "partial 16S ribosomal RNA". It matches the Rfam family "Bacterial small subunit ribosomal RNA", at positions 523 to 796 of the family's 1533-position model. The record is from RNAcentral.
AUACGAAGGUCCCAAGCGUUAUUCGGAAUCACUGGGCGUAAAGAGUACGUAGGCGGUUUGGUAAGUCAGGUGCGAAAUCCCGGAGCUCAACUCCGGAACUGCAUCCGAUACUGCCAGACUUGAGUAAUGGAGAGGCAGGUGGAAUUCUCGGUGUAGCAGUGAAAUGCGUGGAUAUCGAGAGGAAGACCAAUGGCGAAGGCAGCCUGCUGGACAUUUACUGACGCUGAGGUACGAAGGCUAGGGGAGCGAAAGGGAGUAGAAACCCCAGUAGUCC